CGUGCCUUUGAUUUGGAGAAAGAACUGAUUGUCAAAGAGGAAAUCAUUUCUCGUGAGGUUUAUCUCCAGCAAGCGAAGAAGUUAGUCGUCAGGGCGCGUGACGUCAGGACGCAGGUUAAAAGCAUCACGCACGGCGCGCAUGCCCCCAGCAAUGUCUAUAUUAGUGUACAGACUGCCAACGUCCAUAGUGAAUAAGAAAGCGUGCGCAGGGAUCCGAAGAGCACGGACCUUGGUGACGAAAUCAUAAGUGUCUUUUACGUAGCUCGCGUGUGAGAUAGAAAGAGGGUAAAGAUAGUGAUCCGGGUACUCAGCCGUAUGCCGAAAGCCAGGACCAGUUUGCGGACCUUGGGGUUGAUGGUGGUCUUGGCCAUCACCGCGGAGACAUGACGGAACGACGCGCCAGGAUAACCAUCGAUCUGGAGACCAGGUCACCAGCAGGUGGAGCCCGGAGGAUCGUGGUGUCUGCACCAACCGGAGCCGCCAGCAGGGGCUGCUAAGUCGCCUUAAACCGGGUGGUGUUAAAAGCAGAGAUGACGGCCGUAAUAGAAAUAAUUAAAAACACAAUAAAAUAAUACCGUUGUAUCGAAUUAUUGCAGUGUGGGGGUCAAGGUGAUACAAUCCAAGGGUAAAAAAAUAUACAAAAACAUAAAAGGCAAACUGUACAUUAAUGCGACCGUGAUGCGGGUUCAUACAUUAAAAACAUCGAUUUUUACAUGUAUAUAUGCAUUUGAAAAAAUGUAUAUAAACAUAAAAG
Gadus morhua (Atlantic cod) is the source of this 754-nucleotide long non-coding RNA. RefSeq lists it as uncharacterized. The transcript has 3 exons. The record is from RefSeq and is a predicted model, not a curated record. Lineage: Eukaryota; Metazoa; Chordata; Actinopteri; Gadiformes; Gadidae.